Molecule: ribosomal RNA, 497 nt
Filed under: uncultured bacterium
Lineage: Bacteria
Description: partial 16S ribosomal RNA
Rfam family: Bacterial small subunit ribosomal RNA
Source: RNAcentral
GACGAACGCUGGCGGCGUGCCUAAUACAUGCAAGUUGAGCGCUGAAGGUUGGUACUUGUACCUACUGGAUGAGCAGCGAACGGGUGAGUAACGCGUGGGGAAUCUGCCUUUGAGCGGGGGACAACAUUUGGAAACGAAUGCUAAUACCGCAUAAAAACUUUAAACACAAGUUUUAAGUUUGAAAGAUGCAAUUGCAUCACUCAAAGAUGAUCCCGCGUUGUAUUAGCUAGUUGGUGAGGUAAAGGCUCAACAAGGCGAUGAUACAUAACCGGCCUGGGAGGGUGAUUGGCCCACUUGGGACGGGGAACAGGCCCAAACCCCUACGGGGGGGAGGAGGUGGGGAAUCUCGGGAAAGGGCGAAAGUCUGAACGGGGCACGCCGCGGGAGUGAAGGAGGGUUUCGGAUCGUAAAAAUCUGUUGGUAGAGAAGAAAGUUAGGGGGAGUGGAAAGCGCAUCUAGUGACGGUAACUACCCAGAAAGCGACGGCUAACUACGUG